Molecule: small nuclear RNA, 323 nt
Filed under: Chinchilla lanigera (long-tailed chinchilla)
Lineage: Eukaryota; Metazoa; Chordata; Mammalia; Rodentia; Chinchillidae
Description: 7SK RNA (ENSCLAG00000022044.1)
Rfam family: 7SK RNA
About the family: 7SK was discovered as an abundant small nuclear RNA in the mid-70s but a possible function has only recently been suggested. Two independent studies have found that 7SK RNA binds the CDK9/cyclin T complex (known as elongation factor P-TEFb). P-TEFb activates transcription by phosphorylating the C-terminal domain of RNA polymerase II.
Source: Rfam by way of RNAcentral
GGAUGUGAGAGUGAUCUGACUACAAUAUCUGUCACCCCGUUGAUUGCCAGCGUUGGUUCAGCUGACCUGGCUGGCUAGGCAGGUGUUGCCUUCCUCCCUCAGUGCUUUAUGUGCAUCCUUCCUGAAGCUGCAUGUUCAGCUGAAGAGGAUAACCGCCCUCAAAAGAGGAGAACUGUUCCUUGGUCAAGGGUAUGGGAGUAGCUGCACUCCCCUGCUAAAACCUCCACACUUUCAAAAUUGUUGUAUAUUUUUACACUCUAUGAACACAUGAAGGUUAUUAUAGCUCCACAUCUUUCUCAAUCCUUGAUUCUGUCAUUUUUGAA